CCUGCUUCUCCCUCUGCCUGUGUCUCUGCCUCUCUCUCUCUCUCUCUCUCUCUCUCUCUCUCUCUGUGACUAUCAUAAAUAAAUAAAAUAAAAAAUAAAUAAAAAUAAAUAAAAAAGAAGAGGAAUUAGAAGAUGACAAAGGUAAGGCACAAGGACUGGUUAGGCCUCAACCAAUGCCACUGGUUAGGGACAGUGUAACAGUCCAGGAGAGAAACAAGUUUACAGGGAAGAAAUAGUGUUGGAGAGAAAGGAGAGACAGAAAAGACAAAUACCAAGGAAAAAAAAAUCAAAGAAUAGUUGAUUAGCUGGGAUGUGUCUGUCUCGGAUGGAUGAUAGUCAUCAAAGAAUGUUGAUAUUAGUCGUGUAGAAAGUCACUUUUGAAGAACCAUGUCUUCAAAUGGGUCUAAUAGGAUAAAUAAUCUCCCAUCUGUAAUUCCAGAUAAUUAAAUAAAUAUGUUGAUUUGUUAACAUUGCUCAUUUUUGUCAUGGAGUUAAAGACUACAGAAUUGGUGUUUUGUUUUCUCUUAAAAGUGAAGCAUACAAUUAUUAAUAUGAAAUAAUCUAUAUAAUUAUGAUAGAUAUGUAGAAUAGACACUUAUUUGCUGUGCAGUCUCAUACUUCUCUUCCUUUGGGGACUUCACCCAUAUUUCCUAAUGGACAACAAUGCCUUUCCUUUGUGAGUGAGUCACGUUGUUUCAAGUGACAUGAAUUCAGGUGUGGAUCCACUUACCUUAUAACUCAUUCUCCUUAUUCUCAGAUACUGAUUGACAAGUGAGCAGGUGACCCAACUGUGGACAAGGAGUUGGGUUGUUUUGUUUUGUUCUAUUCUGGUUUGUCUUAAGGAGUUUGGUCUUUUUUGAGAAAGAGAAACCUCUUUUCUUUUCCAUGGUAGCUACCAAAAGAGAUGCUCUUUUACUCUCUACAAUGUAAAUAUGAGGAUUCAAGUCUGGAGCUGAUAGUUAUUUGUGCCUGAGUGAAAAGCUCCCAUGUGAACCCAGAGAAAAAGCCAAUAUCUCAAAGGGCACAAUGGUAAAAACAGUAUGUGAAUUGCUGAAGUAAGCUUUUUCCAAAGCCAGAUCUACCUGUGGACUUUUCAAAUGUGUGAACCAAAAUACUGCCAUUAUUAUCAGAGGCUGUAUGGUAUCAUGAUAUACUCAGAAAAUUGUGUGUAACUUUUUUAGGAAAAAUUACCUUAUUUCUUUAAUCUCUUCUUAUGGCAAAGAAGAACUAUUCAAUAACUAUGAUUUUUAACCAUAACACUUUGAAACAUUCAAAAAGCUAUUAGUACUGUGUUAUUAUUAUACAAUUCAAACCAACUGAAUUCUACAUAGAGGGUAUCGAUAGCUUUUGACUUUCCUGGACCAAAAUAUCAUUUAAUAUAAAUGAAAGUGGCUUUUUAAAUCUGAAGUCACGUAGAAAAAUUUAUGACAAAGCAUUAGCAUUUAAGACUGGAUUGUGAAGAGUAAUGGCAAUUAUACGCUUUCCUGUUUCAUUAGGAAGGUGAAUCAAGAUGAACAGGAAAAUAGCUCAGGAAAGCACUUCCCUCAAACACACAAAACUUACACAUUUUAACAAAGGUAAAUCAUAAGACUUUUCAGAAAAAUUGUUAGCCUUUCCCCUAAUAGUACAGUUUUAGUUGAUUAAAUUGUAAAAGCUAAAGUCGAAGGAGACCUGUUUUUUCUUUUUUUUUUUUUUUAAAUUGUUUUGGUAUAUCUUUGAAGUUACGAGAUGGUCAAUGUUUUUUUUUUUUUUUUUUAAAGAUUUUAUUUAUUCAUGAGAGACACAGAGAAUGAAGCAGAAACAUAGACAGAGGGAGAAGCGGGCUCCAUGCAGAAACCGGAUAUGGGACUCGAUCCAGGGACUCCAGGAUCACACCCUGAGCCAAAGGCAGACACUCAACUGCUGAGCCACCCAGGCAUCCCAAUGGUCAAUGUUAAAAUAUAUUUGGUGGUUUAACAAUAACAUUUUACUUCCAGGAUAAUGUUCUCACACUUUAUAGCUCUGAGAAUGUACUUUACGCAUGGGAACUAAAAAUAUUAUGCUAUGAGAGAGAAACUGAAGCGAAAAAGUUCAAAAGAUUCAUUUUACAUGAGAUGCAGAAAACCCCAUCUGCAAAGCCAGAAGCAGAGUGACUUCUUCAAUGUAAUUUUCAUUGUCAUUGAAAGUGACAGAUUUUUGACAAAACUCAGCAUUCGCUCUGAACUAUUAUAGCAGUUCAUUUUCCAACAGCAAGUAAUUCCAACUCGACACAGUGCUUGAUGUAGACAUCCAGUUCAUGUGCUAAAUCUCGUAAACCCCUAACUGUUCAAUUUACUUCAUAUGGGGAAAACUGGGUCAACCUGGAACAAUUUCGUACAGAAAAGAAACAGAGCUGCUACAACACUUUGAACUCCAGGCUCUGAAGGAUCCUCUUCAUUCCCAUGUCAAAGGUGCAAGAACCACAUCCUACUACACAUUUCUUCACUUGAACUCCUUGGCUUCUCCCCAGGGCCAGAAAUCAUUAACCAGUUACUAUAGAUUUGCCUUCGCUGAGCAUAUCCAAAUGUUUGUCCCCAAUUUUGCCUAUCAUGUUGGUGUUUGCAUUAUGAUUAUUCAGGGGCAGGAGAUUAAUCAGCCUUUCUGUACUUUAAAAAAUAGAGGGAGGGAUUAGGUUGACUAAAAUUGUGUGGAAGGAAAAGGUGUAGCAGUUUGCCUUCUACCAGAGGAGGCCUAGGAAGGAGAAUUUAGUUUUAUAUCAUGUUGUCUUUUCCAGUAUUGAAAAGAGGUAAUCAGACUCAGUGAUAAAUUCAACAUCAGAAUUAUGUUCUGAUUUGCUACUUCCCAGCUGUCCUCUCAGAGGGGUUCCCUGAACACCUAGGGAAGGGCUGGCUGAGCCUCCUGGGAAGGCAGUGAUGUUUGGAGGGUGAGCUCUCCUUGUGAGAGGUUGUGUGUGUGCUGUGUGUGGUUUCAUCACCUCUCUGCAAUCCUUGCAAUUUAGCUCAGAAAAUUAGGUAGACCAGAGAGCUGCUUGGGAUCUUGUUUGUAGGGGAUAUCACAGUGCAUCUGACUGGCCAAGGUGUUGUCAGGUGCCUGUGGAAUCAUGGAGAAAGUACGUUGCCUUCUCUGAAGGGAUUUAAUAACCACACUCUCCCUCAUGGGACCAACUACUUUGAAUGAAUAUUAGGAUAAAUUACAGAGGGAAACUGAGGAACUUAAUCCAAUAUUGGUAAUUUUUCACUCAUUAUUUCACAAAUAUUUUUGAGAAAAGUAUAUAUUGUGCUAAAUAUUACAGUCUAAUUGAGGAAGAUGUCUAGACCUAUUAAGGUCACUGAAAAGUAUAAAUUCUGAAAUAGAAGGUUUUAAGCCCACUUGGGGGGAGAAAGGCAUAAAAGAUAAUCAAAGCCAAAGAAUGUUCUAGUUAACUGAUGAUAUAAUAUUUCUAACACAUCCUGUUUUUCUCUUACCUUUUCCCAGCCAGAGAGAGAGAGAGAGAGAGAAGAUAAAUAGAAAUAGCAUCAGAUACACUAUGAGUGG
Molecule: long non-coding RNA, 3513 nt
Organism: Canis lupus familiaris (dog)
Lineage: Eukaryota; Metazoa; Chordata; Mammalia; Carnivora; Canidae
Exons: 3
Source: RefSeq, a predicted model, not a curated record